This 29-nucleotide non-coding RNA is filed under the name Mus musculus (house mouse). Lineage: Eukaryota; Metazoa; Chordata; Mammalia; Rodentia; Muridae. The record is from RNAcentral.
UAAGGUAAAUGGCACCAAGAAGUUGUGGC